This is a long non-coding RNA of Drosophila navojoa, 411 nucleotides long. The record is from RefSeq and is a predicted model, not a curated record. Lineage: Eukaryota; Metazoa; Arthropoda; Insecta; Diptera; Drosophilidae.
UAUUUGAUAAUUUCAUUAUCAGGUGGAUCCAAACGAAGCGAAACGUGAUACUGAUGACCAUGGACCAAAACUAGAUAGCGUUGACUUCUGGCAUAAGCUGAUUGCAUUGAUUGUAUCUGUUAUUGAUGAAGACAAAAAUAGUUAUGGGACAGUGCUCAAUCAAUUUCCCCAGGAAUUGAACAUUGGACAGCUAUCGGCAGCUACUAUGUGGGGUCUUUUCGCCGUAGACAUGAAGUACGCGCUUGAAGAGCAUGAGCAGCAUCGGCUUUGCAAGUCAUCUGCUUACAUGAACUUGCAUUUUCGUGUCAAAUGGCUAUACAGUAACUAUGUUAAGGAGGUGCCACCCUAUAAAGGAGCUGUGCCGGAGUAUCCAGCUUGGUUUGAGCCGUUCGUCAUGCAAUGGCUAAAUGA